This 488-nucleotide ribosomal RNA is filed under the name uncultured bacterium. RNAcentral describes it as "bacterial SSU rRNA". It matches the Rfam family "Bacterial small subunit ribosomal RNA", at positions 30 to 507 of the family's 1533-position model. The record is from RNAcentral.
AUUGAACGCUGGCGGCAUGCCUAACACAUGCAAGUCGAACGGUAACGCGGAGAGCUUGCUCUCUGGCGACGAGUGGCGGACGGGUGAGUAAUACUUGGGAAUCUGCCCAGUAGUGGGGGACAACAUUCGGAAACGGAUGCUAAUACCGCAUACGCACUACGGUGGAAAGUGGGGGAUCUUCGGACCUCACGCUAUUGGAUGAGCCCAAGUCGGAUUAGCUUGUAGGUAGGGUAACGGCCUACCUAGGCGACGAUCCGUAGCUGGUCUGAGAGGACGAUCAGCCACACUGGGACUGAGACACGGCCCAGACUCCUACGGGAGGCAGCAGUGGGGAAUAUUGGACAAUGGGCGCAAGCCUGAUCCAGCAAUGCCGCGUGUGUGAAGAAGGCCUGCGGGUUGUAAAGCACUUUCAGUAGAGAAGAAAAGCCUAGGGUUAAUACCCCUGAGUCUUGGCGUAACCUACAGAAGAAGCACCGGCUAACUCCGUG